Molecule: ribosomal RNA, 1349 nt
Filed under: metagenome
Description: bacterial LSU rRNA
Rfam family: Bacterial large subunit ribosomal RNA
Source: RNAcentral
AAAUUCAGUGAUCCUAUGCUGCCGAGAAAAGCCUCUAGUGAGUUCAUACACGGCCCGUACCCCAAACCGACACAGGUGAUCAGGUAGAGAAUACCAAGGCGAUCGAGAGAACUGUGGUUAAGGAACUCGGCAAAAUGCCCCCGUAACUUCGGGAGAAGGGGGACCAUGCCCGGUGAACAUCUUCACGGUGGGAGCUGGGUGUGGUCGCAGAGACCAGAGAGAAGCGACUGUUUACUAAAAACACAGGUCCGUGCGAAGACGUAAGUCGAUGUAUACGGACUGACGCCUGCCCGGUGCUGGAAGGUUAAGAGGACCGGUUAGCCGUAAGGCGAAGCUGAGAAUUUAAGCCCCAGUAAACGGCGGUGGUAACUAUAACCAUCCUAAGGUAGCGAAAUUCCUUGUCGGGUAAGUUCCGACCUGCACGAAUGGCGUAACGACUUCUCUGCUGUCUCGACCACAGACUCGGCGAAAUUGCACUACGAGUAAAGAUGCUCGUUACGCGCGGCAGGACGAAAAGACCCCGGGACCUUUACUAUAGCUUGGUAUUGGCGUUCGAUUCGGUUUGUGUAGGAUAGGUGGGAGACUGUGAAGCAUGCACGCCAGUGUGUGUGGAGUCGUUGUUGAAAUACCACUCUGAUCGUAUUGGACGUCUAACCUCGGCCCAUGAUCUGGGUUAGGGACAGUGUCUGGUGGGUAGUUUAACUGGGGCGGUUGCCUCCUAAAGAGUAACGGAGGCGCCCAAAGGUUCCCUCAGCCUGGAUGGCAAUCAGGUGUUGAGUGCAAGUGCACAAGGGAGCUUGACUGUGAGACUGACACGUCGAGCAGGGACGAAAGUCGGGACUAGUGAUCCGGCACCGGCAAGUGGAAGCGGUGUCGCUCAACGGAUAAAAGGUACCCCGGGGAUAACAGGCUGAUCUUCCCCAAGAGUCCAUAUCGACGGGAUGGUUUGGCACCUCGAUGUCGGCUCGUCGCAUCCUGGGGCUGGAGUAGGUCCCAAGGGUUGGGCUGUUCGCCCAUUAAAGCGGCACGCGAGCUGGGUUUAGAACGUCGUGAGACAGUUCGGUCUCUAUCCGCCGCGCGCGUAAGAAACUUGAGGAAGGCUGUCCCUAGUACGAGAGGACCGGGACGGACGAACCUCUGGUGUGCCAGUUGUUCCACCAGGAGCAUGGCUGGUUAGCUACGUUCGGAAGGGAUAACCGCUAAAAGCAUCUAAGCGGGAAGCCUGUUCCAAGAUGAGGUUUCUCACCACCUUGCGUGGUUAAGGCCCCCUACAGACCAUGGGGUUGAUAGGCCGGAACUGGAAGCGCAGCAAUGCGUGGAGGUGACCGGUACUAAUAGGCCGAGGGCCU